Molecule: ribosomal RNA, 788 nt
Filed under: uncultured Chlamydiae bacterium
Lineage: Bacteria; Pseudomonadati; Chlamydiota; Chlamydiia
Description: bacterial SSU rRNA
Rfam family: Bacterial small subunit ribosomal RNA
Source: RNAcentral
GGCGUAAAGCGUGCGUAGGUGGUUCGUUAAGUCAGAUGUGAAAGCCCUGGGCUCAACCUGGGAACUGCAUUUGAAACUCCAUGUCUAGAGGACUGGCGGAGAAAACGGAAUUCCACGUGUAGCGGUGAAAUGCGUAGAUAUGUGGAAGAACACCAGUGGCGAAAGCGGUUUUCUAGCUUUUUCCUGACGCUGAGGCGCGAGAGCAAGGGGAGCAAACAGGAUUAGAUACCCUGGUAGUCCUUGCCGUAAACGAUGUAUACUUGAUGUAGCCGGGCUCAACCCUGGCUGUGUCGUAGCUAACGCGAUAAGUAUACCGCCUGGGGAGUACGCUCGCAAGGGUGAAACUCAAGAGAAUUGACGGGGGCCCGCACAAGCAGUGGAGCAUGUGGUUUAAUUCGAUGCAACGCGAAGAACCUUACCUACCCUUGACAUCCAGAGAAUCUGUUAGAGAUAGUAGAGUGCCUUCGGGAGCUCUGAGACAGGUGCUGCAUGGCUGUCGUCAGCUCGUGUCGUGAGGUGUUGGGUUAAGUCCCGCAACGAGCGCAACCCUCAUCCACAGUUGCCAUCAGGUAAUGCUGGGAACUCUGUGGAGACUGCCGGUGACAAGCCGGAGGAAGGUGGGGAUGACGUCAAGUCAUCAUGGCCCUUACGCCCAGGGCUACACACGUACUACAAUGGCCGGUACAGAAGGAAGCAAGACCGUGAGGUGGAGCCAAUCCCCAAAGCCGGCCUCAGUUCAGAUUGGAGUCUGCAACUCGACUCCAUGAAGGUGGAAUCGCUAGUAAUCG